GGUGGUUCUCGGGUGACACAGCCCAGAAUCGGGCUCCCUCCUCUCUGGUUCCGUGCAUCACCUGAGAACCACA
Molecule: non-coding RNA, 73 nt
Organism: Myotis davidii
Lineage: Eukaryota; Metazoa; Chordata; Mammalia; Chiroptera; Vespertilionidae
Source: Rfam